This 253-nucleotide ribosomal RNA is filed under the name uncultured bacterium. RNAcentral's name for it is "partial 16S ribosomal RNA". It matches the Rfam family "Bacterial small subunit ribosomal RNA", at positions 524 to 776 of the family's 1533-position model. The record is from RNAcentral.
GACAGAGGGUGCAAACGUUGUUCGGAAUUACUGGGCGUAAAGGGUGCGUAGGCGGCGAGGUAAGUCGGAUGUGAAAUCCCGGGGCUCAACCCCGGAACUGCAUUCGAUACUGCUUUGCUUGAGUACUGGAGAGGAGACUGGAAUUUACGGUGUAGCAGUGAAAUGCGUAGAUAUCGUAAGGAAGACCAGUGGCGAAGGCGAGUCUCUGGACAGUUACUGACGCUGAGGCACGAAGGCCAGGGGAGCAAACGGG